GCUGAGUGUCCCGUGGCCCAAAGCGUUUACUUUGAAAAAGUUAGACUGUUCAAAGCAGGCCUGAGCCACCUAGAUAUCUCAGCUAGGAAUGAUGGAAUAGAACCGCCAUUCUUUUUUGUUGGUUUUCAGGACUGAGGCCAUGAUUAAGAGGGAUGGCUGGGGGCAUUCGUAUUGUGCCACUAGAGGUGAAAUUCUUGGACUGGUGCAGUUCGGACCAGAGCUAAAGCAUUUGCCAAGAAUGUUUUCAUUAACCAAGAACGAAAGUCGGAGUUUCGAAGACGAUCAGAUACCGUCGUUGUUCCGACCCUCACCCGGCCCGGACAUGGACAGGAUUGACAGAUUGAUAGGUCUUUCUUGAUUCCAUGGGUGGUGGUGCAUGGCCUUAGUUGGUGGAGUGAUUUGUCUGGUUAAUUCCGAUAAUGAAGGAGACUCUGGCAUGCUAACUAGUUACGCGACCCCCAAGCGGUCAGCAUCCCCCAACUUCUUAGAGGGAUAAGUGGCAUUUAGCCACCCGAGAUUGAGAAAUAACACGUCUGUGAUGCCCUUAGAUGUCUGGGGCUGCACGCACGCUACAGUGACUGGCUCAGCGUGUGCCUACCCUACGUGGCAGACGCGGGUAACCUGUUGAACACCAUUGGUGAUGGUGAUCGGGGAUUGCAAUUAUUCCCCAUGAAUGACGAAUUCCCAGUAAGUGUGGGUCAUAGGCUUGCGUGAAGUCCCUACCCUUUGUACACACUGCCAGUCGCUACUACUGAUUGGAUGGUUUAGUGAGGCCCUUGGAUCGGCCCCGCCGGGUCAGCCCACUGCCCUGGUGGAGCACUGAGAAGACAGUCGAACUUGACUAUCUAGAGGAAGUAAAAGUCAUAACAAAAUUUCCAUAGUUGAACCUGUCGAGGGAUCAUUAACGGAG
RNAcentral lists this long non-coding RNA (910 nucleotides) under Homo sapiens (human). Its description in RNAcentral is "HSALNT0409311". It matches the Rfam family "Eukaryotic small subunit ribosomal RNA", at positions 726 to 1831 of the family's 1831-position model. The record is from RNAcentral. Lineage: Eukaryota; Metazoa; Chordata; Mammalia; Primates; Hominidae.